RNAcentral lists this ribosomal RNA (415 nucleotides) under uncultured bacterium. RNAcentral's name for it is "bacterial SSU rRNA". It matches the Rfam family "Bacterial small subunit ribosomal RNA", at positions 355 to 786 of the family's 1533-position model. The record is from RNAcentral.
GGGGGAAUAUUGCACAAUGGGGGGAACCCUGAUGCAGCGACGCCGCGUGAAGGAAGAAGUAUCUCGGUAUGUAAACUUCUAUCAGCAGGGAAGAUAAUGACGGUACCUGACUAAGAAGCCCCGGCUAACUACGUGCCAGCAGCCGCGGUAAUACGUGGGGGGGACAAGCGUUAUCCGGAUUUACUGGGUGUAAAGGGAGCGUAGACGGCAUGGCAAGUCUGAUGUGAAAGGCAGGGGCUCAACUCCUGGACUGCUUUGGAAACUGUGGAUCUAGAGUGCGGAGAGGUAAGCGGAAUUCCUAGUGUAGCGGUGAAAUGCGUAGAUAUUAGGAGGAACACCAGUGGCGAAGGCGGCUUACUGGACGGUAACUGACGUUGAGGCUCGAAAGCGUGGGGAGCAAACAGGAUUAGAUACC